RNAcentral lists this long non-coding RNA (217 nucleotides) under Brassica napus (rape). Its description in RNAcentral is "long non-coding RNA (BNAP_LNC003057)". The record is from RNAcentral. Lineage: Eukaryota; Viridiplantae; Streptophyta; Magnoliopsida; Brassicales; Brassicaceae.
AUGCAUGACCAAUGAUAUCUUAUACUCUCCCUCUGUUUCAUUAUAAGUAUCACUUUAGCUUUCUGCACACAGAUUAAGAAAAUAAUUAAUUUUGCAUAUUUUCUAUAUAAAAACACAAUUACCUAUACACCUAACUAUAUUUCAACCAAUAAAAAAACAAGUUGCAUAAUAAAAUUAAUAAAUUUUGCAUUAGAAAUCGAAAACGACACUUAUUUUG